CUCUGGCCGCCGACGCCAUUCCUUUCUUUCUCCUUCUCUGUAGAAGCCCGGGAGUACACCGUCGACGACGACCGUAGCAGUUGCGCCGUCGCCGAACCAGUACACCGUCGCCAAGACUUCGCCGAGCCGCGUUUGAUUCUUGAUAAUUGCAUAAUCGGUGAAGGAGUGGAUUAGGUGCU
This is a non-coding RNA of Oryza sativa Japonica Group (Japanese rice), 179 nucleotides long. Lineage: Eukaryota; Viridiplantae; Streptophyta; Magnoliopsida; Poales; Poaceae. The record is from RefSeq and is a predicted model, not a curated record.